This 487-nucleotide ribosomal RNA is filed under the name uncultured bacterium. RNAcentral's name for it is "partial 16S ribosomal RNA". It matches the Rfam family "Bacterial small subunit ribosomal RNA", at positions 355 to 834 of the family's 1533-position model. The record is from RNAcentral.
UAGGGAAUCUUCCACAAUGGACGCAAGUCUGAUGGAGCAACGCCGCGUGAGUGAAGAAGGUCUUCGGAUCGUAAAGCUCUGUUGUUGGUGAAGAAGGAUAGAGGCAGUAACUGGUCUUUAUUUGACGGUAAUCAACCAGAAAGUCACGGCUAACUACGUGCCAGCAGCCGCGGUAAUACGUAGGUGGCAAGCGUUGUCCGGAUUUAUUGGGCGUAAAGCGAGCGCAGGCGGAAUGAUAAGUCUGAUGUGAAAGCCCACGGCUCAACCGUGGAACUGCAUCGGAAACUGUCAUUCUUGAGUGCAGAAGAGGAGAGUGGAACUCCAUGUGUAGCGGUGGAAUGCGUAGAUAUAUGGAAGAACACCAGUGGCGAAGGCGGCUCUCUGGUCUGCAACUGACGCUGAGGCUCGAAAGCAUGGGUAGCGAACAGGAUUAGAUACCCUGGUAGUCCAUGCCGUAAACGAUGAGCGCUAGGUNGUUGGGGACUUU